GUAAUCCAGAAAAAAAAAAACAGGAACCAUGCGAAAAAUGCAACCCCUCUCUGGCCUUCAGGUGUUGAAAUCCAUGUGUGGAAGGCAGGGCAGCCCAGCAGGAAGAUAGCAGGCAGGGGGACACUGGCCUGAGGGUGCCUCUGCUAAAGACUGGGCAGGGGAUGGGCCCCUCUUCAGCACGAAAGGAAAGCUUGCUGCUGAUUCCUGCUCAGGCUUCAACUCGGGAGAGAAGACAGACAGGAGACGGCAGACAACCUAUUCUUGGCUAACUUGGUUGAACUCCAAGGGUGUGCUGGCUAGAUUUAUGUCGACAUAAGUUUUGGGGAGAAGCGACCUCAGUUGAGGAAAUACUUCUGCCAGGUUGGCUUGCAGGGUGAUUCUUGAACAUCAAGAGCGCGUUAGACAACGAUGAGAUGAGAAUUUGGAGGUGAGCAGACACCAGAGCAGAAUGUUCAAUGUUAGAGCCGUUUAACAACAGCAGCAACAGCAAAAGAACACAACAGAACAAUGACCAGCAUCACACCCAGAGAAGUGUCCACAGAGAGUUUCAGACAUGCGCAGAAAUAUGAUUUGGAUAGACCGUGCUUGUGGCUGUGUGGUGGGUUAAUCUAUUUGAAGAAGGAAUGGAGAGAUAAGUAGAGGAACUGAAAUUCUAAGAUGUAAUAGGAAUAAGGACAGAGUUUUUCAGGGGUGGGGAGAGAUGGCUCAGCAGUUAAGAGCACUGGCUGCUCUUCUAGAGGACCCAGGUUCAAUUCCCAGCACCCACAUGCUCACUUACAGCUAUCUGUAACAGCACUUCCAGGGGGUCAUCCUAUACACCAUUAUGUAGACGUUCACCCAGGCAAAAACCCAGCACACGAAAUAAAAGUAAGUAAAAAAAGAA
This is a long non-coding RNA of Mesocricetus auratus (golden hamster), 883 nucleotides long. RefSeq lists it as uncharacterized. Lineage: Eukaryota; Metazoa; Chordata; Mammalia; Rodentia; Cricetidae. The transcript is spliced from 3 exons. The record is from RefSeq and is a predicted model, not a curated record.